GCCAACGACUAUACCACGUUGAAUACACCAGUUCUCGUCCGAUCACUGAAGUUCAGCAGCGUCGGGCGCAGUCAGUACUUGGGUGGGUGACCGCUUGAGAACACUGCGUGCCGUUGGCA
This 119-nucleotide ribosomal RNA is filed under the name Acyrthosiphon pisum (pea aphid). The record is from RNAcentral. Lineage: Eukaryota; Metazoa; Arthropoda; Insecta; Hemiptera; Aphididae.